Molecule: unclassified non-coding RNA, 309 nt
Filed under: uncultured Glomus
Lineage: Eukaryota; Fungi; Glomeromycota; Glomeromycetes; Glomerales; Glomeraceae
Description: sequence contains ITS2
Source: RNAcentral
AACGCAAAUUGCACUCUCUGGCAACCCGGGGAGUAUGCCUGUUUGAGGGUCAGUGUUAAUAAAAAUCGGUGCGUUGCAAUUUUUUUUUGUGAUGUUUCCGGAGUUUGAGUUAUCUUAAUUAACUCUUUUGGGUUUUUAAGAGGCUUAAAAUUGACCUUUUUUUGUGCAUUUUAGACGUACAUAAAUUUUUUUUUUAUUCGUCCAUCUUAAUGCCAAAAUCUAUUAGAUGCGACCAUAUCAUGUGGUUUCGUGUCCAUAAAUUUUUCAUGAUUUGACCUCAAAUCAGGUAGGAACACCCGCUGAACUUAA